Long non-coding RNA from Anas platyrhynchos (mallard), 3940 nucleotides. RefSeq lists it as uncharacterized. Lineage: Eukaryota; Metazoa; Chordata; Aves; Anseriformes; Anatidae. The record is from RefSeq and is a predicted model, not a curated record.
GUGACAGAGUACUGGAAUCACUCCCUGCCUUCCCUGAGACAGGCCCAACAGGCAGAUGCAUAAUAUGGAGGAUUCUCUGUCAUCUCUCCACCUGACUGAACGCACUGACUCUAAGAAUAAGGGGCAAUGGUGACAAGUAACUGCCCAGCACACCAGAUGUGUCUCCUCAGUGAAUACCCCACCUUCCCAGGUGUCCUCACACAAUAGUUAUGUGGCCCUGCAUGUGAAACAGAAUAAUUAUGAGGAGGAUGAUGGUUCAUCUGGCUUGGAGACAUUACUGAGGUUAAGUCAGCCUAUGGCCUUCAUCAAAACUGUGUCAACGAAGAUGAAAAAAAAAAUGGGGGGUGGAGGUGUUACUGUGAUAGGAGACUCCCUUCUGAAGGGAGCAGAAGGCCCAAUUAAUGGACCCACUAAAUAGGGAAGGUAGCUGCCUUGCUGGGGCACAGUUUAGAGAUACAGAAAGAAAGCUUCCUACCUUGGUGCAGUCCUCAGAAUAUUACCCAUUAUGUUUAUUUCAGGCAGGCAUCAAUGAAGUUUGAAAAGAAGUCCAACAACAAUCAAGGGAGACUUCAGGGCCUUGCAACAACUGGUUGAGGGAUCCGGAGUACAAGUAAUGUUCUCUUCUAUCCCUCCAGUUGCAAGGAAUGGUGAGGGGAGAAACAGAAAGAGCCAGCAGAUCAAUAUCUGGUGUUGCAGGCAGGACUUUGAUAUUUUUUUUAAAUCAGGGGUCAUUUUACAUGACACCAGGCGUGCUGACAACAGACAAGGUACACCUGUCUCAAAGGAGGAAAAGGAUUUUUGUGUAGGAGUUAGCAGAGCUCAUUGAAAUAGCUUUAAACUAGUUUUGAAAGGGGAAGGUAUAAAACCAGACUUUAUGGAGUUAAGCCUGAAGGUGGUAUGUCAGUGUUUGUGGGACAGCGUGCUGGCAAGGUCCUUCAGUCUGCCAUACCAGUGGAGGUAGCAGAAGGAGAGCCAUCAAGCAGCAAAGGCACAAGGGAUAUUGAUGGGUUAGAAAUCAUGGAAGUGUCUGAGAACGGUCACAUAGCAAUUAGGGCUUCUCCCCCACCAAAAGGUGACAGGAUCUCUAACCCAGCUGAAGUGCAUCUAUGCCGAUGCACACAGCAAAGGCAACAAACAGGAGGAGCUGGAAGCCAUUGUGCCACAAGAAAAUAAUUUGUUAUUGUCAAAAAGGGAUUGCUCUACCUAAUUUACCCUAUAAAUUUAGCUAUUGCUUUAAAAUGUGCAUGGUGGAGCCCUAUUUAUCUCAUCAGAAAUACUCAAAUUCAGUGACAGUUUGGAUCAUUUGUUGGUAACCAAACUGGUCAUCAGCACUCUUCACUACCUCCAUAUGACUUCUGAUGAGCUGGAAUCAAUAUCAGCAAAGGAAAUCAUGAUAAUGAUUCAACAGAUUGCAUAGAUAGGACUAUUGCACUGAACUGUAGCUGACCUUCAGCUAAACCCAACUGGAAUACACAAUUUUCUUCUGUCACAAGAAAAUGUAGCUAAAAAAUUACUAGCUGACUGAAAACAUAGUUCAGUAUCAGGACUGUGAAUUUUAGCACUGUGACACAAAAGGGCCAUAGCUGAAAUUGUAACUGCAAGUAUAUUUGGGCAAAGUAAUAUAGACUAUUGAUAUAUUUCAGCAUUAUUUUUUCAGUUGGCAUGGUCAUGUCUUCUGAUUUUGCACAUGUGGCAGUACCAGAUGUAACCACAUUACUAUAUACAAUUAUGCUUCUGUUAUCUUCAAAAUUACAAUGACAUGUCAUUACGUCAUUUCUUUCAGAAAUCCAAUGUAGAUGUGCAUACAGAAUUGUUUAUGAUCCGUGUCAUUGUAUAGAUUUUAUGUGACAAAACACAGUCUGGUUCUACAUAGUUUUCUGCAGAAUAAUUACCAGUUGGCAUACCAGAACAAAUGGUGGGAGGCCAUCAAACAGCUCGUCCAAGCCUUCCAUCCAUCUGUCCACUUGCUGUCUGUGGAACAUGCAGUUUUUAUCUUUAAUCAUUAAAUUGUUUUCUGUAUAUCAGAAUUUCAGUUUUCCUAAGCAAUGCUCGUAUACAGUAUUUAGUGUUUAUUUAGUGUUCAUUUAGCAGUGGGGUAACCUUCUGUCUAACUUCAACUGCUAAAAUAAAAAUAAGAAAUACAAAUUAAAACAUGUAUUUGCCACAUUAUUUUCUCCUAAUUUCCACCUUCAGAGCACCAUCCAUUUCAAAAAACAAUUGUGGUAUCUAUUUGUAGGAUCUUUUUAUUUUUAUUAUUUAUUUAUUUAUUUAUUUUUUCUCAAGGGAAACAAUUUGGGUUAAACACUUUCUAGAGCUCUCUGUUGUUUGAAUUGAUAAUAAUGUAGCUGAAAAACAAUAAUUGAAUUGAUCUUUGCAGGUUAAAAAAAAUUCUAGAAAUUUAUUUCCUCCGUAACAGGUGACUUAAGAAUUAGUGCCUGACAGAAGAAAGACAUGUGGUAAUGGGACAUAUUAAAAAUAGAGCAACAUGUAUCACUGUCACUUUCUUGCUAAGUAUAUUUGGCAUUAAACACAUAAAGAUCCGUACUUCUAUUUACUCUUCUGCAAAUAAAGGAUGUUUAUAUCCAGUGGAUGAUGAAAAUGUUAUAAGUUACUUUGAAGUCAGGGUUAAUUUUGUUUUUGAAUUCAGUGGAUUAAGAUUCCAAUGCCUUGGACAUGACUGCCCUGGGACAUCCCAGCCCUGGGACAUAGAGAGUAUCACUGAAACACCUGGCAGUUGCAUUGGAGCACAUUGUCUCUGAAGCAAGUGUGACACCUCCUCUACAACCAGCCCACUUUCUUGUUAACUCAGUUUUACAGCAGUAUAUAUACCACACUUGCAGCUACACAAGUCGAGCUGCACCAGGCAAACCUCCCCAGCAGCCCUGGGGAGACUGUUGCCUCUGGCCACUGCCAUGGCACACAUAGGCUCUCUCUGAGCACCUGGAGUACUUAAGUUUACUUAAUCCUACUUGCAGGUGUACCUGAUCCUUCUGCAGUGACUGAUCCUGAUCCUGAAUUUUCCAGAUGCUGAGUUAAGAUAGUAGACUCAUGGCAUUGUUGGAAAUUAGGCUGGAUGAGGCCUUAAGAUAUCAUCCACUCUAUCCCUUGUUUCAAGAUAAAAAAGAGACAUGCAGCUAGGCUUUGCCUGUUUUGCCUGUAUGAAAGUACAGAUCCUCCCAGAUUCCAUGUGGCACUGCUGCAAGCUUCUGGGAGAUAGGUCCAGCUCUACCAUCAUGGGGAAUUGUUUUGUUCUGAUAGACCUAUACUGCCUGUUCAUUUUCAUCUUUCAUUAUGUUUGAUGAAUUGUUGCUGAUGUUUUAAUAUUCAGUGAAAUUAGAACUGAGUGUUUAAUUUGAGCUUUAUACUGAAGUUUAUAACAGCCACAAGUUACUCAUGACUCAGGCAUUCUUGAUCAAAUAAAUCAGUAAAACAAAAACUGGCUUGUCUUUCAUUCUGUGAGCAAGCUCUUCUGAGAUUUAAAGGUUCUUUGUCUUAUCUGACACUUCGACAAGGCGAAUCAUUUAGUGAAUUAAAGGAAGCAUCCAUUUCCCUUGCAGAUUACUUUUAAGUAAUGAAGUUAGUGUUUGGGCAAAACAAUCAGCUUUACUUAAUGGUGUUUUGAAAUCAAGUCUCUAAGAAGAAGCUGAGUGAUUUCUGCAUGACUACAUUCCAUGUUAUCAUCUGGUAUGAAAAAUGCAUUAUACUCUCACUUCCUCUCUAGGCAAACUCAAUUUCCAACACCUGUGAUCUGAACAAACUGUACACAGACUCUUAAGAAAAGAUUUAAACUGUGAAAAGCUUAUAGAUUUUUUUAGAACUGCAUUUUGGAGUCCAAUACAUCCAAGUUACAUUAAUUUAUACAUACAUAAAAGGAGUACAUAAAGCCAGUAAGCUGUAGGAAGUCUCUGUCCAUGUAAUCCAAGUAACAUGGUAAGGUAGA